RNAcentral lists this long non-coding RNA (2204 nucleotides) under Aquilegia coerulea. RNAcentral describes it as "long non-coding RNA (ACOE_LNC002303)". Lineage: Eukaryota; Viridiplantae; Streptophyta; Magnoliopsida; Ranunculales; Ranunculaceae. The record is from RNAcentral.
AAUAAAAAAAAAUUAUUUAUUUUCAAUUCCCAAAAUGUCACUAUUUACAGUAUUGCCAUAAUAUACUUUACACACCAUUUAAAAUAUGUUCAGUAACCAUCAAUACAUAUCAAAAAAUUUACAAACUUAAAAGAAAAAAAAAUCAUCCAUGUUGAAGCCUUGAAUCUUGAGCAACUCUCCCAAACCUCACAUCCAGGGAAGGUGUGUGUAUCAGACUCUCAACAAUUUUCUUUAGCAUCUGCAUUCAUACACCAGACCUAAAUCAAUACCAAUAUACAAUAAGUUCAUAAAAAAUCUAAACUUAUUAGUUAUCAAAAAAAAAAAAAAAAAUUUAAACUUUAGCAAAAAAAUAGAUUAAAACUUUUCUAUUUCGACCAUUAUACUGAUUACGAAACCUAAAAGAUCCUAAUAUAAACCAACUUCAAAUUGCAAGAAUACUAUGUUAGAGGUUAGCAAAUGAAGUUAUACAUAAGAUAAUCAUGAUCAUAGUAGUGUGUAUUUUAAAGUGUAUCUAUCUUUUCAAUGUUAAAAAGAACAUAAUAAGAUAAGUACAUUUCUCACUCAAUGAGUAUACUAAUGAGCCAAUGGGUUCACUUCCAUAAAUGGAAAAUAAAAACAUUUGGUUGUCCAUCUUCAGUUCUAACAAUCUAAAUGGAGUUGUUCAACUUUCAGUUUUAACAAAAUGGAUACCAUGACAAGUUAUCAUCAACAACAGCACAACUGCACAAUGCUUAAAAAAGCGCUCUAUUCUUUUAAUGACAUAUUUGCACUUGUUAUAAUCUCUUGAUAACUACUUGCUUAUCCAACAAAAAAUAUUCAAUAAUUUGGUACCAUCAAACUCAGAAUAACGAAUAUAGUUUUUGUGCAUGCAAUCAGAAAAAAGAAACCUUACUAUUCCAUUCAUUAGCAAGAAGAGAUGCACAGAUUAGCAGGUAAACAAGACAACUUCAUAACAAAGUCUACGUAUAUAAGAAAAUGUGUGGUGUCUGUUACCUGCUAGAUUACACUAAGUUUUUUUAGGUGAUAUUUGAUGAAACAUGAAUCCAAAGUUGAUGUGUCAUAAGUUAAGGGAAAACACAAGCCAACAAAUGAAACAUGCAAAACAAUGAAGUUUAUAAACACAUGCAAAAAGAAAGUGAAAGACCUUUAUAAGAAAACAGUUUGCUCCUAUAUAAAAUUCAAUUGUAAAAGCAAAUAAAUCAUGAGUGGGAGUUCACCUGCAUUCUAUUUAUGACUCCACGAAUGAUUUUGGCGUGUAACCUGGGGUAAGGUGUUGCACUUAACAAUCAAUACAUUGAGUAAGAGAUAAAGAAUGCAUUUUGUUAAUGCUAAACAUGUAGGACUUAGCGAAAGACCUCAAAACUUGUAUUACGCCAACACGAAUUCAGCUGAAGCAUACACAUAAACUACUUGAAGCCCAAGAAUGCUAAACAAUUAUAAACCUACAAAUACAAGAUAUCACACUUCAGAUGAGGACUACCGAAUAAGAAGAAUAGAAGAAAUUUUAAAAAUAAUUACCACAGAAACUGUACCAGCCUAUAUGUUUCAUGUAGAGCAAAAUAAAGGUUGUCACGCACUUAAAUCUGGUCCUACAAAAGAAGAAAGCAUUAUAAAUGAGAACAAAACUAAUGAUUGAAGCAAUAAAAUGUAGUGCUUCUAUGUGCAACAUAAAGCUAAUAUCGAAGUCAUGACUCUAACCCUCUUACUCUAUAAUCUAUAUAGCUCUCUCUCUUUCUCUCUUCCAUUUCUUCGUUUGUCUUUGGUGUAAAUCUGUAAACAAAGUAAGAGAAAAGAAGAAAAAAAAAACGUAUCUGUGAACAGUAGUUUGAAUUGAAGAACAGAAUGUGAGUGAUAAAAAUAAAAGCAAGAAAUAUACGCAACACAUACAGAUUCUCAACCACGGCCUCCCAAUAUGCAUGCUCAGUACUCUAAUGCGGGUAUACCACCUGGUGCACACUACCUACAACACCAACAGAUAACACAACAGUCGCUCAUGACUGCUCAAUCAAAUAUGUUAUAUGGUCAACCAAUCACAAGGAUGCAGCAACAACAAGCAAUGCAUAACAAGCUUGGCAUGAGCUCUGGUGGUAACAGUGGACCAAUUUCGGGUGUAUAUUAUGUCACUGAAGCUAAUAUCAAAGUCAGCUGAUUUCAGAUUUCAUAGAUUGGUGUUUUGCAGACACCUUAUUAAAAAAAAUUAUUAA